RNAcentral lists this long non-coding RNA (568 nucleotides) under Homo sapiens (human). Its description in RNAcentral is "HSALNT0351191". Lineage: Eukaryota; Metazoa; Chordata; Mammalia; Primates; Hominidae. The record is from RNAcentral.
AUAGAUUACUACACACCUAGGCUCUAUGGCAUACCCCAUUGCUCCUAUGCGAUAAACCUAUACAGCAUGUAACUGUGCUGAAUACUGUAGGCAAUUGUAAUAAAAUGGUAUUUGUAUAUCUAAACACAGAAAAGGUAGAGUAAAAAUAUGGUAUAAAAAUAUAAAAUGGCACACUUGUAUAGGGCACCCUUACCAUGAAUGGAGCUUGCAGGACUGAAAGCUGCUCUGGGGUUGUUAGUGGACAUCAUCCGAGCAAAACUUGAAAAGUGCUUAUAUGACUGGGCUUACCUGUACAUGUUCCUGCUUUUACAUGAGAGGCACAUGCCUCCAAUAUAACCACUGGUCCAAGAAAGAUAGGAAAUACAUGGAGAAAACCUGGUUUCUAUCUGAAGUUUGGAGCCACCCCAACAAAAAAAAGCCUGAAGAAGGGGCACUCCAAGCCACUCAAAAACACAUGAGCAAGAAAUAAAUGCCUAUUGCUGAUGCCACUGAUAUGUUAUGGUUGUUUGUUAUUAUGCUGAAAAAACAGACAAUAAAAAUUAACAAUAAUUCCUUAAUAUCAAAUACA